This 284-nucleotide long non-coding RNA is filed under the name Elaeis guineensis (African oil palm). RNAcentral describes it as "long non-coding RNA (EGUI_LNC055487)". Lineage: Eukaryota; Viridiplantae; Streptophyta; Magnoliopsida; Arecales; Arecaceae. The record is from RNAcentral.
UUAUAUGCUCUGAUAUAUUUCAAAAUUCAAACUUGCUCUGAUACAUCUUUUGAAAUUUUAUUCACCUUGAUACAUCUUAAGAAAUUUAUUUUACUCUGAUACAUCCUAUAAUUUCUUUUAACUUGCUCUGAUACAUGAUAAAAUUUAAUCCGAUACAGUGUGAAGGUUUCUCUGAUAAAUUAUAACAUUUGAUCCGAUACAGUAUGAGAAAGUUUCUCUUAUAUAUUAUAACAUUUGUUCUGAUACAAUGAGAAAUUUACUCUGACAUUUGCUCUAAUACAGUG